RNAcentral lists this long non-coding RNA (303 nucleotides) under Ananas comosus (pineapple). RNAcentral describes it as "long non-coding RNA (ACOM_LNC039572)". Lineage: Eukaryota; Viridiplantae; Streptophyta; Magnoliopsida; Poales; Bromeliaceae. The record is from RNAcentral.
AUUAUCAAAUUGAACACAAGCAAGCAAGCUGACUUAGCUCGUAUUCGGCUCGUUUAUUAAUCGAGCUGAAAAAUACAGUUUGUGUUCGGCUUAUUUAUUAAACGAGAUUCAAUUUUGAGUUCAUUUCAAGCCGAAUACGAACUGACUUGCGAACAACAAACUAAAUUGCCGUCCCUACUAUUUGUAGACCAAGUGAUAAAAAAUUUGAUGGCUAAUAUCCGAAAUUAUAAAUUCGUAGUGUAGUUAUUCUAUAUUUUCAACUAAAUUUAUUUUUUAAAAAUAAAUAAAAUAAAUAGCAUGUUA